Molecule: ribosomal RNA, 497 nt
Filed under: uncultured bacterium
Lineage: Bacteria
Description: partial 16S ribosomal RNA
Rfam family: Bacterial small subunit ribosomal RNA
Source: RNAcentral
GAUGAACGCUGGCGGCGUGCCUAAUACAUGCAAGUCGAGCGAACAGACGAGGAGCUUGCUCCUCUGACGUUAGCGGCGGACGGGUGAGUAACACGUGGAUAACCUACCUAUAAGACUGGGAUAACUUCGGGAAACCGGAGCUAAUACCGGAUAAUAUAUUGAACCGCAUGGUUCAAUAGUGAAAGACGGUUUUGCUGUCACUUAUAGAUGUAUCCGCGCCGCAUUAGCUAGUUGGUAAGGUAACGGCUUACCAAGGCAACGAUGCGUAGCCGACCUGAGAGGGUGAUCGGCCACACUGGAACUGAGACACGGUCCAGACUCCUACGGGAGGCAGCAGUAGGGAAUCUUGCGCAAUGGGCGAAAGCCUGACGGAGCAACGCCGCGUGAGUGAUGAAGGUCUUCGGAUCGUAAAACUCUGUUAUUAGGGAAGAAAAAAUGUGUAAGUAACUAUGCACGUCUUGACGGUACCUAAUCAGAAAGCCACGGCUAACUACGUG